GAGCCUGUGGUUUAAUGGGUAGAGCAUUGGACUCCGGAUCCACAGGUCGCGGGUUCG
RNAcentral lists this transfer RNA (57 nucleotides) under Schistocephalus solidus. It matches the Rfam family "tRNA", at positions 1 to 55 of the family's 71-position model. From Rfam's summary of the family: Transfer RNA (tRNA) molecules are approximately 80 nucleotides in length. Lineage: Eukaryota; Metazoa; Platyhelminthes; Cestoda; Diphyllobothriidea; Diphyllobothriidae. The record is from Rfam by way of RNAcentral.